This 387-nucleotide ribosomal RNA is filed under the name uncultured bacterium. Its description in RNAcentral is "bacterial SSU rRNA". It matches the Rfam family "Bacterial small subunit ribosomal RNA", at positions 29 to 391 of the family's 1533-position model. The record is from RNAcentral.
AACGAACGCUGGCGGCGUGGCUAAGGCAUGCAAGUCGAACGAACAUAUUCCAAGGGGUAACUGAGGGAUAUGUUAGUGGCGAACGGGUGAGGAAUACAUGGACAACGUACCCUGGACUCGGGGAUAGCGGCGGGCCGCAAGGCUCUUUAGCGAAAGUGCCGGUAAUACCCGAUGACCCCGCGUGAUCGCAUGAUCGAGCGGGCAAAGCUCCGACGGUCCGGGAUCGGUUCAUGUCCAUCAGCUAGUUGGUGAGGUAACGGCUCACCAAGGCGGCGACGGGUACCGGGCGUGAGAGCGUGACCCGGNACAUCGGAACUGAGAUACGGUCCGGACNCCUAGGGUGGUUGCAGCAACGAAUAUUCCGCAAUGGACGCAAGUCUGACGGAG